RNAcentral lists this ribosomal RNA (437 nucleotides) under uncultured bacterium. RNAcentral's name for it is "partial 16S ribosomal RNA". It matches the Rfam family "Bacterial small subunit ribosomal RNA", at positions 28 to 507 of the family's 1533-position model. The record is from RNAcentral.
GAUGAACGCUGGCGGCAUGCCUAACACAUGCAAGUCGAACGGCAAGUGGUUUUUCCAGUGGCGAACGGGUGAGUAACGCGUAAGAACCUGCCCUUUGGAGCGGAACCACAACUGGAAACGGUUGCUACUACCCCGUAGUCUCAGUAGCAAAAGGGGAAAUCCGCCCAAGGAGGGGCGGGCGCCUGGUUAACUAGUUGGUUAGGUAAUAGCUUACCAAGGCGAUGAUCAGUAGCUGGUGCGAGAGGAAGAUCGGCCAGACUGGGACUGAGACACGGACCGGAGAACAACGGAAGGCAGCAGUGAGGAAGUUUCAGCAAUGGGCGAUAGGCUAACGGAGCAUUGGCGUGUGAAAGUGGAAGGGCUACGAAUGAACAGCAGCAUGUCAAGAAGAAGAAGUAAUGACGGUAUCUAAAGAAUAAGCACCGGCUAACUCUGUG